CCUACGGGAUGCAGCAGGCGCGAAAACUUUACAAUGCGGGAAACCGUGAUAAGGGAAUCUCGAGUGCCAGCAUAUAAUGUUGGCUGUCCAGAUGCCUAAAAAGCAUCUGUUAGCAAGGGCCGGGCAAGACCGGUGCCAGCCGCCGCGGUAACACCGGCGGCCCGAGUGGUAACCGCUAUUAUUGGGUCUAAAGGGUCUGUAGCCGGCCAGGUAAGUCCCUUGGGAAAUCUGGCAGCUCAACUGUCAGGCUGCUAGGGGAUACUGUUUGGCUUGGGACCGGGAGAGGUGAGAGGUACCUUGGGGGUAGGGGUGAAAUCUUGUGAUCCUCGGGGGACCACCAGUGGCGAAGGCGUCUCACCAGAACGGGUCCGACGGUAAGGGACGAAAGCUAGGGGCACGAACC
This 403-nucleotide ribosomal RNA is filed under the name uncultured archaeon. Its description in RNAcentral is "bacterial SSU rRNA". It matches the Rfam family "Archaeal small subunit ribosomal RNA", at positions 322 to 725 of the family's 1478-position model. The record is from RNAcentral.